Molecule: ribosomal RNA, 467 nt
Filed under: uncultured bacterium
Lineage: Bacteria
Description: partial 16S ribosomal RNA
Rfam family: Bacterial small subunit ribosomal RNA
Source: RNAcentral
GAUGAACGCUGGCGGCGUGCUUAACACAUGCAAGUCGAACGAUGAUGCCCAGCUUGCUGGGUGGAUUAGUGGCGAACGGGUGAGUAACACGUGAGUAACCUGCCCUUGACUCUGGGAUAAGCCUGGGAAACUGGGUCUAAUACCGGAUACGACCAUCUGGCGCAUGUCAUGGUGGUGGAAAGCUUUUGUGGUUUUGGAUGGACUCGCGGCCUAUCAGCUUGUUGGUGGGGUAAUGGCCUACCAAGGCGACGACGGGUAGCCGGCCUGAGAGGGUGACCGGCCACACUGGGACUGAGACACGGCCCAGACCCCUACGGGAGGCAGCAGUGGGGAAUAUUGCACAAUGGGCGCAAGCCUGAUGCAGCGACGCCGCGUGAGGGAUGACGGCCUUCGGGUUGUAAACCUCUUUCAGUAGGGAAGAAGCGAAAGUGACGGUACCUGCAGAAGAAGCGCCGGCUAACUACGUG